GAUGAACGCUGGCGGCGUGCCUAAUACAUGCAAGUCGAGCGAACAGACGAGGAGCUUGCUCCUCUGACGUUAGCGGCGGACGGGUGAGUAACACGUGGAUAACCUACCUAUAAGACUGGGAUAACUUCGGGAAACCGGAGCUAAGACCGGAUAAUAUAUUUAACCGCAUGGUUCAAUAGUUAAAUACGGUUUUGCUGUCACUUAUAGAUGUAUGCUCGCCGCAUUAGCUAGUUGGUAAGGUAACGGCUUACCAAGGCAACGAUGCGUAGCCGACCUGAGAGGGUGAACGGCCACACAGGAAGUGAGACACGGUACAGACUCCGACAGGCGGCAGCAGUAGGGAAUCUUCCGCAAUGGGCGAAAGCCUGAAGGAGCAACGCAGGGUGAGUGAUGAAGGUCUUCGGAUCGUAAAACGCUGUUAUUAGGGAAGAACAAAUGUGUAAGUAACUAUGCUCGUCUUGACGGUACCUAGUCAGAAAGCCACGGCUAACUACGUG
RNAcentral lists this ribosomal RNA (497 nucleotides) under uncultured bacterium. RNAcentral describes it as "partial 16S ribosomal RNA". It matches the Rfam family "Bacterial small subunit ribosomal RNA", at positions 28 to 507 of the family's 1533-position model. The record is from RNAcentral.